This 253-nucleotide ribosomal RNA is filed under the name uncultured bacterium. RNAcentral describes it as "partial 16S ribosomal RNA". It matches the Rfam family "Bacterial small subunit ribosomal RNA", at positions 524 to 776 of the family's 1533-position model. The record is from RNAcentral.
UACGGAGGGGACUAGCGUUGUUCGGAAUUACUGGGCGUAAAGCGCACGUAGGCGGAUUUGUAAGUCAGGGGUGAAAUCCCGGGGCUCAACCUCGGAACUGCCUUUGAUACUGCAAAUCUCGAGUCCGGAAGAGGUGAGUGGAAUUCCUAGUGUAGAGGUGAAAUUCGUAGAUAUUAGGAAGAACACCAGUGGCGAAGGCGGCUCACUGGUCCGGUACUGACGCUGAGACGCGAAAGCGUGGGGAGCAAACAGG